CUUAGGAUGAACGCUAGCGACAGGCCUAACACAUGCAAGUCGAGGGGCAGCACAAGGAGCAAUCUGAGGUGGCGACCGGCGCACGGGUGAGUAACACGUAUGCAACCUGCCUGUAAGCGGGGAAUAACCCGUUGAAAGACGGACUAAUACCGCAUAAUACUAAAUUACUGCAUGGUAAUUUAUUUAAACAUUUAUGGCUUACAGAUGGGCAUGCGCAUGAUUAGCUAGUUGGAGAGGUAACGGCUCCCCAAGGCAACGAUCAUUAGGGGUUCUGAGAGGAAGGUCCCCCACACUGGUACUGAGACACGGACCAGACUCCUACGGGAGGCAGCAGUGAGGAAUAUUGGUCAAUGGACGAGAGUCUGAACCAGCCAAGUCGCGUGCAGGAAGAAUGUCCUUAAUGGAUUGUAAACUGCUUUUGCAGGGGAAUAAAGUGCAUCACGUGUGAUGUUUUGUAUGUACUCUGCGAAUAAGGAUCGGCUAACUCCGUGCCAGCCGCUGC
Molecule: ribosomal RNA, 502 nt
Filed under: uncultured bacterium
Lineage: Bacteria
Description: bacterial SSU rRNA
Rfam family: Bacterial small subunit ribosomal RNA
Source: RNAcentral